This 253-nucleotide ribosomal RNA is filed under the name uncultured bacterium. Its description in RNAcentral is "partial 16S ribosomal RNA". It matches the Rfam family "Bacterial small subunit ribosomal RNA", at positions 524 to 776 of the family's 1533-position model. The record is from RNAcentral.
CACGUAGGGUGCGAGCGUUGUCCGGAAUUAUUGGGCGUAAAGAGCUCGUAGGCGGUGUGUCGCGUCGGCCGUGAAAACCUGCAGCUUAACUGUGGGCGUGCGGUUGAUACGGGUGGGCUGGAGUUCGGUAGGGGAGACUGGAAUUCCUGGUGUAGCGGUGAAAUGCGCAGAUAUCAGGAGGAACACCCGAGGCGAAGGCGGCUCUCUGGGUCGUACCUGACGCUGAGGCGCGAAAGCGUGGGGAGCGAACGGG